GACGGACCGUACGAACGUUAUUCGGAAUUACUGGGCUUAAAGGGUGCGUAGGCGGCUCAGAAAGUUGAAUGUGAAAGCCCUCGGCUUAACCGAGGAAUUGCAUCCAAAACUACUGGGCUUGAGUGAGAUAGAGGUGAGCGGAACUCACGGUGGAGCGGUGAAAUGCGUUGAUAUCGUGAGGAACACCGGUGGCGAAAGCGGCUCACUGGAUCUUUGCUGACGCUGAGGCACGAAAGCUAGGGUAGCGAACGGG
Molecule: ribosomal RNA, 253 nt
Filed under: uncultured bacterium
Lineage: Bacteria
Description: partial 16S ribosomal RNA
Rfam family: Bacterial small subunit ribosomal RNA
Source: RNAcentral